This 497-nucleotide ribosomal RNA is filed under the name uncultured bacterium. Its description in RNAcentral is "partial 16S ribosomal RNA". It matches the Rfam family "Bacterial small subunit ribosomal RNA", at positions 28 to 507 of the family's 1533-position model. The record is from RNAcentral.
GAUGAACGCUGGCGGCGUGCCUAAUACAUGCAAGUCGAGCGAACGGACGAGAAGCUUGCUUCUCUGAUGUUAGCGGCGGACGGGUGAGUAACACGUGGAUAACCUACCUAUAAGACUGGGAUAACUUCGGGAAACCGUAGCUAAUACCGGAUAAUAUUUUGAACCGCAUGGUUCAAAAGUGAAAGACGGUCUUGCUGUCACUUAUAGAUGGAUCCGCGCUGCAUUAGCUAGUUGGUAGGGUAACGGCUUACCAAGGCAACGAUGCAUAGCCGACCUGAGAGGGUGAUCGGCCACACUGGAACUGAGACACGGUCCAGACUCCUACGGGAGGCAGCAGUAGGGAAUCUUCCGCAAUGGGCGAAAGCCUGACGGAGCAACGCCGCGUGAGUGAUGAAGGUCUUCGGAUCGUAAAGCUCUGUUAUUAGGGAAGAACAUAUGUGUAAGUAACUGUGCACAUCUUGACGGUACCUAAUCAGAAAGCCACGGCUAACUACGUG